This 2541-nucleotide small RNA is filed under the name Pan troglodytes (chimpanzee). Its description in RNAcentral is "processed transcript". The record is from RNAcentral. Lineage: Eukaryota; Metazoa; Chordata; Mammalia; Primates; Hominidae.
GCAGUGCCCACAGCCUGGAUCUGCCUCUGUCCCACAGCACCGGCCACCAUCCCCCACGGGAGGUGACUGCGUGCCCCGGCCUCACUGCCUCCACCAUCGUGCGACAACGCAAAAGGGUUGAAAGCCUUCUACGAUGCAAUAAAAUACGGGCCGAACCACUUGAUGGUGUUUGGAGGCGUCUGUCCAUCCGUCACGUCCAUCAUUGCAGAGUCCCUCCAAGGCUGGAAUCUGGUGCAGCUUUCUUUUGCUGCAACCACGCCUGUUCUAGCCGAUAAGAAAAAAUACCCUUAUUUCUUUCGGACCGUCCCAUCAGACAAUGCGGUGAAUCCAGCCAUUCUGAAGUUGCUCAAGCACUACCAGUGGAAGCGCGUGGGCACGCUGACGCAAGACGUUCAGAGGUUCUCUGAGGUGCGGAAUGACCUGACUGGAGUUCUGUAUGGCGAAGACAUUGAGAUUUCAGACACCGAGAGCUUCUCCAACGAUCCCUGUACCAGUGUCAAAAAGCUGAAGGGGAAUGAUGUGCGGAUCAUCCUUGGCCAGUUUGACCAGAAUAUGGCAGCAAAAGUGUUCUGUUGUGCAUACGAGGAGAACAUGUAUGGUAGUAAAUAUCAGUGGAUCAUCCCGGGCUGGUACGAGCCUUCUUGGUGGGAGCAGGUGCACACGGAAGCCAACUCAUCCCGCUGCCUCCGGAAGAAUCUGCUUGCUGCCAUGGAGGGCUACAUUGGUGUGGAUUUCGAGCCCCUGAGCUCCAAGCAGAUCAAGACCAUCUCAGGAAAGACUCCACAGCAAUAUGAGAGAGAGUACAACAACAAGCGGUCAGGCGUGGGGCCCAGCAAGUUCCACGGGUACGCCUACGAUGGCAUCUGGGUCAUCGCCAAGACACUGCAGAGGGCCAUGGAGACACUGCAUGCCAGCAGCCGGCACCAGCGGAUCCAGGACUUCAACUACACAGACCACACGCUGGGCAGGAUCAUCCUCAAUGCCAUGAACGAGACCAACUUCUUCGGGGUCACGGGUCAAGUUGUAUUCCGGAAUGGGGAGAGAAUGGGGACCAUUAAAUUUACUCAAUUUCAAGACAGCAGGGAGGUGAAGGUGGGAGAGUACAACGCUGUGGCCGACACACUGGAGAUCAUCAAUGACACCAUCAGAUUCCAAGGAUCCGAACCACCAAAAGACAAGACCAUCAUCCUGGAGCAGCUGCGGAAGAUCUCCCUACCUCUCUACAGCAUCCUCUCUGCCCUCACCAUCCUCGGGAUGAUCAUGGCCAGUGCUUUUCUCUUCUUCAACAUCAAGAACCGGAAUCAGAAGCUGAUAAAGAUGUCGAGUCCAUACAUGAACAACCUUAUCAUCCUUGGAGGGAUGCUCUCCUAUGCUUCCAUAUUUCUCUUUGGCCUUGAUGGAUCCUUUGUCUCUGAAAAGACCUUUGAAACACUUUGCACCGUCAGGACCUGGAUUCUCACCGUGGGCUACACGACCGCUUUUGGGGCCAUGUUUGCAAAGACCUGGAGAGUCCACGCCAUCUUCAAAAAUGUGAAAAUGAAGAAGAAGAUCAUCAAGGACCAGAAACUGCUUGUGAUCGUGGGGGGCAUGCUGCUGAUCGACCUGUGUAUCCUGAUCUGCUGGCAGGCUGUGGACCCCCUGCGAAGGACAGUGGAGAAGUACAGCAUGGAGCCGGACCCAGCAGGACGGGAUAUCUCCAUCCGCCCUCUCCUGGAGCACUGUGAGAACACCCAUAUGACCAUCUGGCUUGGCAUCGUCUAUGCCUACAAGGGACUUCUCAUGUUGUUCGGUUGUUUCUUAGCUUGGGAGACCCGCAACGUCAGCAUCCCCGCACUCAACGACAGCAAGUACAUCGGGAUGAGUGUCUACAACGUGGGGAUCAUGUGCAUCAUCGGGGCCGCUGUCUCCUUCCUGACCCGGGAUCAGCCCAAUGUGCAGUUCUGCAUCGUGGCUCUGGUCAUCAUCUUCUGCAGCACCAUCACCCUCUGCCUGGUAUUCGUGCCGAAGCUCAUCACCCUGAGAACAAACCCAGAUGCAGCAACGCAGAACAGGCGAUUCCAGUUCACUCAGAAUCAGAAGAAAGAAGAUUCUAAAACGUCCACCUCGGUCACCAGUGUGAACCAAGCCAGCACAUCCCGCCUGGAGGGCCUACAGUCAGAAAACCAUCGCCUGCGAAUGAAGAUCACAGAGCUGGAUAAAGACUUGGAAGAGGUCACCAUGCAGCUGCAGGACACACCAGAAAAGACCACCUACAUUAAACAGAACCACUACCAAGAGCUCAAUGACAUCCUCAACCUGGGAAACUUCACUGAGAGCACAGAUGGAGGAAAGGCCAUUUUAAAAAAUCACCUCGAUCAAAAUCCCCAGCUACAGUGGAACACAACAGAGCCCUCUCGAACAUGCAAAGAUCCUAUAGAAGAUAUAAACUCUCCAGAACACAUCCAGCGUCGGCUGUCCCUCCAGCUCCCCAUCCUCCACCACGCCUACCUCCCAUCCAUUGGAGGCGUGGACGCCAGCUGUGUCAGCCCCUGCGUCAGCCCC